RNAcentral lists this ribosomal RNA (255 nucleotides) under Triticum aestivum (bread wheat). RNAcentral describes it as "partial small subunit ribosomal RNA". The record is from RNAcentral. Lineage: Eukaryota; Viridiplantae; Streptophyta; Magnoliopsida; Poales; Poaceae.
AUGGCUCUUGUGAAGAACAACGUGCAGACUAUGUGCCUGGUCGCUCUUCUUGUAAUGUCUACCACUUUCUUGCCCUCUCAUGUAGAAGGAAGGGUGAUAGAUACCAAGGAGACGAUCCUCACUUCGUGUUUACUUUGGAAAAGCUGCACAAUCGAUUUAUGCAAGCAAAACUGUUCAAUACGUGGAUAUGCUAAGAGUGAAAGCAGUUGUGUAUCAUACAACAAAGCUAACUACUGCUGCUGUGCGACGAAGUGA